Molecule: long non-coding RNA, 3125 nt
Organism: Oncorhynchus mykiss (rainbow trout)
Lineage: Eukaryota; Metazoa; Chordata; Actinopteri; Salmoniformes; Salmonidae
Source: Ensembl
AGAUUCAGUGAUAUGACGAGACAUACUGUCACACUCUGACCAUAGUUAUAGUGGGCAUUCUAUGUUGUAUGUCUAGUUUGUUUGUUUCUAUGUUUUGGUUGGUCGGGGUGUGAUAUGAGUGGGCAUUCUAUGUUGUAUGUCUAGUUUGUCUGUUUGGAUGUGUUUGGCCUGAUAUUGUUCUCAAUCAGAGGCAGGUGUUAGUUGUUGUCUCUGAUUGAGAACCAUAUUUAGGUGGCCUGUUUUGUAUUGUGGGGUGUGGGUGAUUGUUCCUGUUUCCAGUGUUGGUGUUCACGGGACGUUUACGUUCAUUUUGUCGGUUUAUUGUUUUUUUGUUCGUUGUUCAAGUAUUCUAUUAAAAUUGAUAAUCAUCACGCUGCAUUUUGGUCCUCCUCUCCUUUUCCCGACGAAGAAUGUUACACAUACUCUAUCUUGGAGGGAGUUAAAAACAUUUUGCGCCGUUUUUUUCCAGACACAGAUUUUGCCUUGUCCUAAAACUAGAAUAAAACCUCUCAAUGGAGAAUCUCUAAUAAAAAAAAUGUUGUUUUUUUUUAAUUCCAAAACUAGGCUUAAUCUGUGUCUGAGAAACAAAAUAAAAGUUUUUUUUUAAAAUCCGGCAUAGCCCAGAUACAGGAACCUGCGAGGCGCUAUGAGGAAGUCGUAUGAGGUGGCGAUGGAGGAGGUGGCUAAGGUCAGGGAGAUGGGCUGUGAGGAGAGACUGCAGAUCAGCCACUUCCAGCCACAGGAUUCGGGACCAGAGGAUUCGGAUGUGGGAUGCCGGCAUCGAGGAGGACGGAGACACUCUGAUCAUAGAAGGGUUCAGGUUUGACAGCGCCACCUGUCUGGAGGACCUGAUGACUGCAGGAAACAAGAAAUAAAGAUUUUUUAUUUUUUAACAAGAUAUUUCCAGAUAGUUUUUUUUCUUCAAGAGAUGUUAAUCCUUUCCCCUUAAAAGUGCUUUAUAUUGUAUGAUAUUUAAUUGAAAUGUUAUAUUUUUCAAAAAUAUUUGUUUACUGUGGUCAUUGUUGAAGACAAUAUACAUUGUGGUGACUGGUAGUAUGAAGAAGUUGUUGUUGUUAUGUUGUUGUUGUUAUGUUAUGUUGUUGUUAUGUGGUUGUUGUUAUGUGGUUGUUGUUAUGUGGUUGUUGUUAUGUGGUUGUUGUUAUGUGGUUAUUCCAGUGCUAUACGGCUGCAUGUUGUAUUCCUCAUGGUGUUUAAAGUUCAGAGAAUGUAGGAAAUAAACCUUGGUAUCAGACAAGAGAACCACGGUAGUGCAGCGACAAUCACUGCUUAAUUACCUCAGGAUAAUGGACUGUAUAUAGCAGGAUAAUGUACUGUAUAUAGCAGGAUAACAACAAUCACUGCUUAAUUGCCUCAGGAUAAUGGACUGUAUAUAGCAGGAUAAUGGACUGUAUAUAGCAGGAUAAUGGACUGUAUAUAGCAGUAUGGUGUAGAAUAAUGUACUGUGUAUAGAAGGAUAAUGGACUGUAUAUAGCAGGAUAAUGGACUGUAUAUAGCAGGAUAAUGGACUGUAUAUAGCAGGAUAAUGGACUGUAUAUAUCAGUAUGGUGCAGGAUAAUGUGCUGUAUAUAGCAGUAUGGAGCAGGAUAAUGUACUGUAUAUAUCAGUAUGGAGCAGGACAAUGUACUGUAUAUAGCAGUAUGGUGCAGGACAAUGUACUGUAUAUAUCAGUAUGGAGCAGGAUAAUGUACUGUAUAUAGCAGUAUGGUGCAGGACAAUGUACUGUAUGGAGCAGGAUAAUGUACUGUAUAUAUCAGUAUGGUGCAGGAUAAUGUACUGUAUAUAUCAGGAUAAUGGACUGUAUAUAUCAGGAUAAUGGACUGUAAAUAUCAGUAUGGUGCAGGAUAAUGGACUGUAUAUAGCAGGAUAAUGGACUGCAUAUAGCAGGAUAAUGGACUGUAUAUAGCAGGAUAAUGUACUGUAUAUAGCAGGAUAAUGUACUGUAUAUAGCAGCAUGGAGCAGGAUAAUGUACUGUAUAUAGCAGCAUGGUGCAGGACAAUGUACUGUAUAUAGCAGGAUAAUGGACUGUAUAUAUCAGUAUGGUGCAGCAUAAUGUACUGUAUAUAGCAGUAUGGAGCAGGAUAAUGUACUGUAUAUAGCAGGAUAAUGGACUGUAUAUAGCAGCAUGGAGCAGGAUAAUGUACUGUAUAUAGCAGCAUGGUGCAGGACAAUGUACUGUAUAUAGCAGGAUAAUGGACUGUAUAUAUCAGUAUGGUGCAGGAUAAUGUACUGUAUAUAGCAGUAUGGAGCAGGAUAAUGUACUGUAUAUAGCAGGAUAAUGGACUGUAUAUAUCAGUAUGGUGCAGGAUAAUGUACUGUAUAUAUCAGUAUGGUGCAGGACAAUGUACUGUAUAUAGCAGUAUGGAGCAGGAUAAUGUACUGUAUAUAGCAGGAUAAUGUACUGUAUGUUCAGGAUAAUGUACUGUAUAUCAGUAUGGUGCAGGAUAAUGUACUGUGUGUAGUGCAGGAUAAUGUACUGUGUAUAGUGCAGGAUAAUGUACUGUAUAUAGCAGUAUAGUGCAGGAUAAUGUACUGCAUAUAGCAGGAUAAUGUACUGUAUAUAGCAGGAUAAUGUACUGUAUAUAUAUCAGGAUAGUGCAGGAUUAUUUACUGUAUAUAGCAGUAUGGAGCAGGAUAAUGUACUGUAUAUAGCAGUAUGGAGCAGGAUAAUGUACUGUAUAUUGCAGUAUGGAGCAGGAUAAUGUACUGUAUAUAGCAGCAUGGAGCAGGAUAAUGCAUUGUAUAUAGCAGGAUAAUGCACUGUAUAUAUCAAUAUAGUGCAGGAUAAUAUACUGUGUAUAGCAGGAUAAUGUACUGUAUAUAGCAGUAUGGAGUAGGAUAAUGUACUGUAUAUAGCAGUAUGGAGUAGGAUAACGUACUGUAUAUAGCAGUAUGGUGUAGGAUAAGGUACUGUAUAUAGCAGGAUAAUGUACUACAUAUAGCAGUAUUUCGCAGGAUAAUGUACUGUAUAUAGCAGUAUGGAGUAGGAUAAUGUACUGUAUAUAGCAGUAUGGAGUAGGAUAAUGUACUGUAUAUAGCAGUAUGGUGUAGAAUAAUGUACUGUAUAUAGCAGUAUGGUGCAGGAUAAUGUACUGUAUAUAGCAGG